GUUGAACGCUGGCGGCAUGCCUUACACAUGCAAGUCGAGCGGUAACAGGUCUUCGGAUGCUGACGAGUGGCGAACGGGUGAGUAAUACAUCGGAACGUGCCUAGUAGUGGGGGAUAACUACUCGAAAGAGUGGCUAAUACCGCAUGAGAUCUACGGAUGAAAGCAGGGGAUCGCAAGACCUUGUGCUACUAGAGCGGCCGAUGGCAGAUCAGGUAGUUGGUGUGAUAAAAGCUUAUCAAGCCGACGAUCUGUAGCUGGCCUGAGAGGACGAUCAGCCACACUGGGACUGAGACACGGCCCAGACUCCUACGGGAGGCAGCAGUGGGGAAUUUGGACAAUGGGCGCAAGCCUGAUCCAGCAAUGCCGCGUGCAGGAUGAAGGCCUUCGGGUUGUAAACUGCUUUUGUACGGAACGAAAAGCCCCGGGUUAAUACCCUGGGGUCAUGACGGUACCGUAAGAAUAAGCACCGGCUAACUACGUGCCAGCCGCCGCCGUAA
Molecule: ribosomal RNA, 497 nt
Filed under: uncultured bacterium
Lineage: Bacteria
Description: partial 16S ribosomal RNA
Rfam family: Bacterial small subunit ribosomal RNA
Source: RNAcentral